Molecule: unclassified non-coding RNA, 341 nt
Filed under: soil metagenome
Description: partial contains 5.8S ribosomal RNA, internal transcribed spacer 2, and large subunit ribosomal RNA
Rfam family: 5.8S ribosomal RNA (bases 1-120)
Source: RNAcentral
GAUGAAGAACGUAGCGAAAUGCGAUAAGUAGUGUGAAUUGCAGAAUUCAGUGAAUCUUCGAAUCUUUGAACGCACAUUGCGCCCUUUGGUAUUCCAAAGGGCAUGCCUGUUCGAGCGUCAUUUGUACCCUCAAGCUUUGCUUGGUGUUGGGCGUCUUGUCUCUAGCUUUGCUGGAGACUCGCCUUAAAGUAAUUGGCAGCCGGCCUACUGGUUUCGGAGCGCAGCACAAGUCGCACUCUCUAUCAGCAAAGGUCUAGCAUCCAUUAAGCCUUUUUUUCAACUUUUGACCUCGGAUCAGGUAGGGAUACCCGCUGAACUUAAGCAUAUCAAUAAGCGGAGGA